CUUUCUCUCUAUUGUGUGUGCAUGCGCGCACACACACACACACACACACACACACUAACAUGCAGAAUAUGUCCAGAUUAUAUAUAGCAAAUGAGAACAGGCCUCAGAGCAGCAUAUUGAUUGGGCUCUUUAGGAAAGGCUGUUUCCGAUAUGGAAACUGAAAACCUUACAGGCAGUAGUGACAGGCCAGGCAGCAGCCAUUGAUCUCAUGCUGUCACUGCCAAGAGGGACAACAUGGGAGGGUGUUGCAGACAUUAAGCACACAGGAGCAGUUAUAAGCUUGUACUAGUUAAAGCGUCCCAAGUGUGACAGGAACAAAGACAGAAGAGGGAAGCACUUUUGCUGCCAUUCUAUUUCUCUACAGACCAAGGGCAAAGCUAAAGACACUCCUAGAACUGAAGACACUGCUAAAAGCUGCUGAGGACUAUUUCUGUGACAAAAACAAAGACAGAAGAAGGGAGCACUAUUGUUGCCAUUCUAUUUCUCUGCAGACCAAGGGCAAAGCUGGAGGCACUCCCAGAACACUCCUGAAGACACUGCUAAAAGUGCUGAGGUUCCUAUAAGCUUCCGAGGGAGAUACUUUGGAUCAGGACCCAGCACAUGGCUUCCCCGCUUCCCUGCCUUUAGCUUUCUCCCUCUGCUGACAUGUCUCUGCCUCUCUCUCUCUGCUGAACUGGACAUGCCUCAACUGCGCCCCCUAGAGGAUUGCGCCUUCUGCAAAUGUGUAGUUUGCUUAAUGCUUGAGCCGCCCCUGCCUCUACAACUACUUCACUAUGCAAUUUUUCUCUUACAUCCAGCUGUCAUCAUAUGUGAUCCAAUGCUAUACAGGCAACCAUAAGGGACAACUUUAAUUAGACUUCAUGAUACGUUAGAGCAUUAUGAGCAGGAAGGCACAGCAAUGGGCCACAAAAGGAAUUCUGGUUCACAUCUACUUAAAUAUGCAAUCUGGUAUGAUGCUUUACUCAAGGCUUUCUUUGCCCUCCAUGCUAUGCACCCCUACCAAUAACAUUCAUCUUUGGACACAGAAUAUUUGUGUGUAUAAAAGCACACCCUAAGGGAGAGUCACAAAGUAAGAUAAUGCAAACAGGAAGUCAACAGGGCUUAUGCUGGGCUAGGGAGCUGCUGAAACAGGCCUUUGAGAUGCUCUGGCAUUGGCCUUGCCCCAACAAGCUCCUUGGCCACUUUCCUUACUAUAGUAUUUUCUUCGGGUCCCAACUAGUACAGAACAAACAACCACACAAUAACAUAGCUAUUCUACUCCUAGACUGCAGAGCAAUAGUCAGAUCUACACUCCUCCAAGAUAAGUCCCGAAACUGACUCAGCAGAGCUUCUACCAAUAACAAGCAAGCAUAAAAACAAUUGUUGGAAUCAAAAAAUUUCUUGUAUUUCCCUUUUAAUUGCACAGAGGAGCAAGACAAAUUAGGGUGGUUUGUCCAUAGAAAAUGAAGGAAUUUCACUAACAUAAUAUCUGAGAAGUUUUCCUCUUAGAAUGGAGGAAAGCCUCAGUUGCUCCAAGGAAUACAAAGCUGACUCAGAUGAAUGAUACGUUAAAUACAACUAACUUCUCUGUAUGUAUGUAGUCUAGCGAAGUGACUAGGAAAAAGGCUAAAAACAAAGCUAGUGGAAAUAACCUUACAGUGACAGCCAGAUAUAGUAAGGACACAAAUACAUUUUCCUGCUUUCCUCUUAUUUCAUAAAAGUGUCUUUCAGAGUAUCAUUGUAAGAAUGCUGGAAAUAACAAGAACAUCCCAAGUGCGGUUACUAUAAAAUAAGGAACUUACAGACCCAAAGUAAUGUUUUGUCCCAACAUGUCUGUCCUCUUGAUUCAAGUUUCUUGAUGGCAUCUAACAGAUGUGGCCAGUGAUGAUUGAAACCUGAGAAAGGAAACUCUGUGAAUUACUAACCAGCUUGACACUUGGAAACACAUUAAACACCUACCACCAUAUGAAAGAACACAACCUAAAGUGAACAUAAGGUAAAGGUAAAGGUUUUCCCCUGAAGUCAAGUCCAGUCAUGUCUGACUCUGGGGGUUGGUGCUCAUCUCCAUUUCUAAGCCGAAGAGCCAGCGUUGUCCGUAGACACCUCCAAGAUCAUGUGGCCGGCAUGACUGCAUGGAGCGCCGUUAUCUUCCCGCCAGAGCGGUACCUAUUGAUCUACUCACAUUGGCAUGUUUUCAAACUGCUAGGUUGGCAGGAGCUGGAGCUAACAGCGGCCGCUCCCGGGGAUUGAACCUGGGACCUUUCGGACUCCAGCUCAGUGCUUUAACGCACUUCACCACCGGGGCUCCUCCGGUGAACAUAGACUAGAAAAACAGGUUUUCUAUAAUGAAGUACAUCAAGAUACAGUUCACAUAAUCAUAUAAUCUUAACCGCAAGGGCUAUUCAGUCCCAACCCCAUUCUGCUAUGCAGAAACACACAAUUAAAGUACUUCUGACAGAUGGCCAUCCAGCCCUAAUUUAAAAACUUCAGAGAAGGAGGCUCCACUACAAUCUGAGGCAGCAUACUCUACUGUUAAACAGCUUUUACUGUCAUGAUAUUCUUCCCAAUAGUUAGGUGGAAUCUUUUUUCCUGAAGCUUGAAUCCAUUGUUCUGUAUUCUAGUCUCUAGAGCAGCAGAAAACAAGCUUUCCCCCUCCUUAAUAUGACAUCUUUCAAAUUUUUAUACAUGGCUAUCAUAUCCUCAUCUCAGCCUUCACUUCUCCAAGAUAAACAUACUCAAUAGAAUAGAAGAAUAGUAUUUUGAAAUAAUUCCUUUAAAAAUCGAACAAAAUUUGGAAGAAUUUUGAAAGAUGUGUUUAUUUCUUGAUAAAUAUUUGCAUUGUGAUAGAAGAUUUCCAUGCAUUAUACACAGGUUCAUUGUUCUAGUCUCUUAGCUGAAUAUGGACAGAUCUUGGAAAUCAUAAGCUUCAAAUAACUACUGAUCUAAUACUAGUUAUUUUCAAUGAAUAAAAUAUAACUAUAGUACAAGUAUAUUAGCAUUUAAACAAUAACUUCACUGUGGUAUAAAUGCAACUUUCUAAACUUUUAUAGUUAUGAGGGAUGGCCUCAUUAAGUGAUAAGAAGAGGACUAUCACAUGGGGUUUAAGUGUUGGUUCUUACUGUGGCUUCUGCUGGUGCUUCAUACUCUGUAUGGGUGUGCCAAUGAUGGUUAGGUAGAUGCGAGUGUGUUUUAUGCCUCGUAGUAUUUAAAUGUUUAAUAACAUAAGUAAUCUAUUUUUAGAAUCAAAAGAGUAGAGUUGCUUUAAAAAAUAACAAUGAAGGCAAAGGUAACUUGGGGAUGGGCUGAAACUGUAAUAGCAAUUAAUUACUAAUUUAAAACUUUUCAUGCUUCAGGUAUAACAACUACAACAGACCAAUUUAAUUUGCAGAGAAUUAAAGAAGACAGGUGCUUUGUAGUUUAUUAAAAGCAUACUUCUUUUAACAGGGUGCACAGAACCAGAAGGUUGGUUCUGUUUGGUUUAGAAAGUAAUCUUAUUAAAGGACAACCACAGAAAAUAGCACGUCACCCCUUUAAAUACAAAGCAAAUUUGGUAGGAUUCAAAAUCAAAGUUAUGGAAGCUUUGGGUAAAAACUUUACUCUUUUAAGAUCUCUUCUAUUACAUUUAAGCAAAGUAUUCUAUGAACAAGUAAGCUCUCUCUCCACUCCUUAGAUUACUGUCUGUAUUGGCCCUAUCCCAAGAUGCCCUAAGUCAUAGAUUUAUGUUAUCGUACACAACCAUCUCAACAUGCUGAAGCUCCUCUGCUAUCCUGAUUCAUUAGCCAUCAAUGCAGAGUCACAGUUUACUCAGGUAAUGUUAGAAAAAAAGUUCCCAAAAAGCAGUUAACAGAAUUUUAGACCCAAACAUAAAUAAAACUUAAUUACAGAUUUUCCUUGGUCCAAAGUCACCCACACUGAUGUGUGGAGGAAGAAUAUUCAGAGUCAGAGGAAGAAUAUUCAGAGUCUAGGGUAAGGGUUUUUUUCUUUGGGAAUCCAAGAGAGAUUUCAUACAUUCUGAAAAGUUAUAGAGACAAAUCCAAAUAGCAACCACAGUAUCUUCACUUUACUAACUUUUUCCUUCAAUUUAAGCAUCACUAGACCAUGGAAGAUUGCAAAUAAAUACUAGGUGCUAUAUUCAGGGGAAAGCAUUUCCAAAAUCACCUUUGAGUAUUCUCUGCCUAAAAAAAUCCUAUACAUUUCAUGAUCACCAUUAGUUCACAAAUAAUUCAAAGGCACUGAUACAAAACAAAAAACAGAAGAACCCAUCCGGAAAGGUUCUUACUAUUCCAAAUAAAAUAGUUCAAGAAAACAUUUUCAGAACUACCCAUGUUCCUCUGCUGCUCAAAAUAGGUCUAUUUUCAGCUCAUGUGUACUAUUACUGUCCAUCCUUAAAUCAUGUUUUAUUUUACUGCACUGUAUUAAGUUUGCUUAGCACCUCCCAUUCUAAGCCUAUUGUAAACUUUAUCAACUAUAGACUAUCACUGUUCCAAAGUGCUCUAUUCCCCUAAAAUACAAAUAGAUUCAUCAUGUUGCUGCAUAGCUGUGGAAAAAAACAGGUUGCAACAGGAGGUUAGAGGUUUAGGUAAUCAGGUUUUAAAGACACAGGGGCAACCUUCUGAUGAUCGUUGUUGUUCUUAAAAACACUUAUCCCAUUCAGCAAGAGCCAGUUCAGAGAUGAGCUCAGUUUCUUCAAAUUUAUAGUACCCACUUCAGGAUAUGAGAACAGCAGGUUGGCACCUAUCAGGCUGAUGAAAACCAAAGGCAGUUAUGAUGCUAAAAUAUGGAGAUGAAUUAAAACAUGUCAGCAAGUACUAGAUUUACGCAAGUCGGUACUGUUCCACUAUCCAGGAAAGGUCAAAAGGGGGUGCUAGACAGAGAAAGGUAGUCCAUUUGGUGUGGGGGGGGGGGGGGAGGUUGAAGGAUUUAAACAACUUCCCCCUGUGUUCCUGUUAUUACUCCCACCCAUGUCAUGGUUGUGGAAACAACCCUCAUUUAUGAAAUGGGAAGUGGGGAGGAGGAAUAACCAGCUAGAACAGGGGAAAUGGUUUUCCUCAUUCUACUCCCCUCUCCAUAAAAUAGACUAUCCUUCUCUGUCUAGCACCCCCUUUUAGCCUCCGCCCAGAUAAUAAAAUAGUACCAGCAAGUCUAAUGCUCACCUUUUUUGGCUAAAUUACAUUGCCACAAUUGAGGUGUGCAUUGGAUUCAAUGGCACAUUAGAAUUGAGCAAAUAACCCCACCUGUGUGAAAAGACCCAGAGGAACCCGGAUCCCCUGAACCUAGCCAGAAAAGGGGGGGGGGGGGAGGCAAAGAAGCUGCUCCUGGUGGUGGUGGUGGCAGCCUCAAGGUUCUGUGGUGCCCAGAGAAGGAGGCAGAACACCCACCUGGUGACCCAGUCAUUCCUGCUGCUUAGCUGCAGAUCCUGCCCCCGAGGGCUCUCAAGGUCUCCCACCCACCCCUCCUAGACUCAGUCUCAUGAGGUUCCUAACUGGCCUUAUUCACGAAGCCUGCAAAACCUUCCUCUUGGUUUCAAAAGCCUUGGGAAUGAUACUAGCUGGGAUUUGUGUAAGGCUGGUGAACUCAGCCUGACAGAGCGACAUGGCUUCCCAAAUGGCUUCAUUCAUGCUGCCUCCCUCCCUGAUGUGUUAUGCUUGUACUGUUGGGUGCAUUACAUUUGAGGGUAAAUCCAUCUUUGUAAUGUGCACCCUCAAAUUUGAGGUGCGCAUUACAUUCAAUGGCAUUCGAUUAUACUCCAAUAAAUACAGUUCUCUGCAGGAUCUAGUCCGUAAAUUCAAGCCUGUAACAUUAUCUUGGUACAGAAUAAAAUCAAGUAGAAUUUGACAAUUUUUUCCUCUGUUUAGUUUUCAUUACCCUGGUAGGUAAAGGUAAAGGUUUCCCCUGACAUUAAGUCUAGUCAUGUCUGAUUCUGGGGGUUGGUGUUCAUCUCUCUAAGCCAAAGAGCCGGCAUGACUAUAUGGAGCGCCGUUACCUUCCCGCCAGAGUGGUACCUAUUGAUCUACUCACAUUUGCAUGUUUUCGAAGCUGGGCCUAACAGCGGGAGCUCACCUCGCUCCCCGGAUUCGAACCGCCAAUCUUUUGGUCAGCAAGUUCAACAGCUCAGCGGUUUAACCCACUACGCCACCAGGGGGCCCAUUCUGGUACUGUAACAAAAUGAUUUCAUCAAAUCUGAAAGAAUAAUGAAAAAAAGAAACAUUGUUUGGAGAGCCAGCAAGGUAUAGUGAUUUGAAUGUUGGACUACAAUUUGGGACACCAGGGUUCAAACCCCACUCACUGACAGAAAACUGCUGGAAUGCCUUGGGCAAAUGACAGUCACAGCAAAUCCCUGACAAAAUAUCACCAAGAAAACCUUAUGGUAAGGUCACCUUAGGAUCACCCUUAUUCAGAAAUGACUUGAAGGUAGUUGACAACAAUGAUUUUCUGAUUGAAAAUGUGCAUUUCACAUUUGUUUAGCAAAUCUAGGAGACACACUUCAAAAAGUGAUUUUCAUCCACCCCAAAAGUAACCUUAUUAGACAGAAAUUCCAAAAUGAAUCUAUGACAAAAAGGCAUUGUUAAUCUUCAGAAUGCAGAGGAAAGCAAUGAAGAGCCUCAACCAGUACUUUCAACUCUCAAAUAGAUCACAUUACUUGGGAUAUGCUUUAGUUCUUGCCUCUUGAAAUAUUUUUCUUCAGCAUAUGAUAAUAUCUCAACUCAAGGAGAAAUCAAUCCAGCUGAGAGUUGGGUAUGCUUAGACUUUCUUAAUUCUAGUGGAUCUUAUGAUUGUGUAGAAAGGUACUGCAUUUUGACCAAAACUUAAUGUACAAAGAAAGAAUUCACAGUUUGGAAAGAAGAGGAAUCUGUAAUCUAUGUCGGCAAACACACAAGUGAUAGUAACAGUUCAGAAAAUUCCAAGGAAUUUUAUUUUCAUGCCCAGAUGCAAUAAAAUGUAAUUGAUGUCUGGUGUUUUCUUUUGUAGCAGUUUAACUAUCAAAAGUAGAAAUAGGACAUAAUACUUAGAUUUGCCUGGAAUCUGUGAAAAGGCCUUUAACAAUCUAAGUAAAUUAUGGAUCAAACACAA
Long non-coding RNA from Anolis carolinensis (green anole), 7050 nucleotides. RefSeq lists it as uncharacterized. Lineage: Eukaryota; Metazoa; Chordata; Lepidosauria; Squamata; Anolidae. The transcript is spliced from 3 exons. The record is from RefSeq and is a predicted model, not a curated record.